Lotus japonicus is the source of this 1429-nucleotide long non-coding RNA. RefSeq lists it as uncharacterized. The record is from RefSeq and is a predicted model, not a curated record. The transcript is spliced from 4 exons. NCBI's taxonomy places the organism in Eukaryota, Viridiplantae, Streptophyta, Magnoliopsida, Fabales, Fabaceae.
CGAACGAAAUUGUUUUCACCUUUUUUUUAACUUUCUUCUUCCAUUCCUUUUAUCGCAUGUUUCUUCUUCACCACAACUUUGAUCUCUCUCCCAACCCAGCACAAUAAUCUUCCAAGUGUUUUGUUUAAUGGGUAUCUUUCUCUGCGCCUUCGAUUUCUUCGCCGCUUCCCCUGCCCUCAAUAUCUUACUCUGCCGCUGCUGUUUACUGGAUUCAUCUCAGCACCGCUCUUCCGCGUUGGAUUUCUUGCUCCUUCGCUGCUGUGCGCCUCGGAUGGGUUCAUCACGGUGUUAAUUGAUUUCGUUUGUGAUCUGCUAAGGUUCAAAAUCAUCCUUGAUAUCGUUUGCGAUCUGCUGAGGUUCGGUCAUUGUAAGUUUUCUUCUUCACUGUUUAGGUGUCGUAUGUUCCGCUGGGGUUUCAGACGCUUGAUCUCUGCUACCCCGUUUCAGUUUUCAGUCGCAUGAGAUUAGGUACAAUUAGUUUCAAUUUUGGGCUCGAUUCGUUGAUUAGUUCUUUCAAUUUCUGUUCAUUGAAUUUUGUUUAGUGAAUCAUCUCCGCACAUCCGUUAUCCGUUGGUGUCUUAAAAGUUGGGCGAUUCUGAUAGGAAGUAAAUCUGAUGAUGUGAUUCAGCUCCCAGUUGAUCUGCAAUGGCCCAUUUCCAGUGAGGGACUACACUUCUUAAAUGAUGUUCGUCAACGUCUUCAAGUGAAUAUAGGUUAUGUCGAUUACCUUUUUUUUAUUUUUCUAAUUUUCUGAAGUUCUCAAUUAAGUAUAUGAAGACAAUGGCGGUCUGAAAGUGAUUCAAGCUUUCUUUACUAAUUUUCCCCUUCUUUUUUGGUUAUUCCAAUUCUUUUGAGCUCCCCCUAUAUAUGCAUUCUGCAAUUUCCCUAUUAUUUGUUGAAAUACAUACUUUUUUAGCAUAUAGUCUGAAUGAAUUUCAAAUCUCUAGAUUCAAUCUCGCUUAAAAAUAAACCAACCCCAGCGUUGUGCUUAUAUUAGAACAUGUUUAUCUUAUUCAUGUGUUAUUCUAUUUGUAUUCAAUUUUAACUAACCUGGACACAUUUUGGUUCAUAUCAAACUUGAAGUUUUCCUUCAAGUGAUCCUGCCUUUGUUGUUUUUUUGUUAAGAAAAGUGAUAAGUGGUCCAAGAUUUUAAAAUGGUUAAUGUAUAAGGUGUCUUUUGUUGAGAACUCAACAACCGACUUUAAAUUUUGCUUAAAGUGUCUUUAAGAGCCAGCUAUAAAGUUUGUUGGUAGUGAUCCUUAUUAAGAGUUAUUGAGUAAGCUUUUGAGUUUUUCCAUGAGUUACAUUUCAGCUUUAUAUUGUGUUUAUCUUUUCCGCUCUUGGGUUGUAGUGAGGAGAUUUUUUGGUUUGUUUGCUUUCCCAAGUCUUUUGGGUGAGUUUUAUGCCAGCUAUGUCAUCUUGGCCUAUA